UUUUUUAUUUUUAUUUUUUUAGGGCCACACCUGUGGCAUAUGGAGGUUCCCAGGCUAGGGGUCUAAUUGGAAUUACAGCUGCUGGCCUACGCCGCAACCACAACACAGGAACCGAGCUGCAUCUGCAACUUACACAAUAGCUCACGGCAACGCUGCAUCCUUAACCCACUGAAAGAGGCCAGGGAUCGAACCGCAGCCUCAUGGUUCCUAUUUGGACUCAUUUCCACUGUGCCACGAUGGUAACUCCCAAUAAUAAUUUCUUAUAUGUCCCCUCUACUGCAUGUUUUUCAUGUUAUACAGACCACUAUUAUCGAAUAUACCCCACAUUACUAUGGAAGAGUAAGCCAAUCAAGAACAGCAUAGAAAUAUAUACUCAUGAGAUAUCUGUAGAUACUGGCAUAAGUAAUUGAUUACAAAAAUUACUGAGGCAUCUGCUGAACUUGAGGGUAAAUAUUUGCCAAAGCACAGAAAACCUUAUAGAUAUGUUAAACAUCAGAUCUUUGGGCAGGCAUCUGUUCAAAAAAAUAUAUUUAGGAGUUCCUGCUGUGGCACAGUGGGUUAAGGAUCCAAAUGCAGAGGCCUGAGUCACUGCAGAGAUGUGGGUUCAAUCCCCGGCCCAGGGCAGUGGUUAAGGAUCUGGCUUGGUUGCAGCUGUGGCAUAGGUUGCAGCUGUGGCUCAGAUUUGAUCCCUGGCCUGGGAACUUUCAUAUGCUGCAGGUGCAGCUGAAAAAGAAAAAAGAAAUAUGUGUGUGUGUGUAUACGUGUAUACACAUACAAAUAAAAAAAAGCUAGAUGCUUGGAUAUUGACAAAUAUUUUUGUGAAGACCAGAGAGCAUGAUAGAUCGUAUACACUCCAUAUAUUUGAACAUUAAUUUGAUUAUCAUUCAUUUCUCCACACUAAUAUAUAAGUUCUGUGUGAGUAUUCACUAAUGGUUGUGAGCCACAUGGGAAGUCCAGAUAUUCACUAAUGGAAAUUACAAGAACUUAGAAUAGCAUCUCAUACCUAGUACUUAAUAAAUGUUAGUUGAAUUAAUGAAUAAUUUUACAUUAUCUUGGCAAUGAAAAAAUAAGCUUAGGUUAAAGUAAAUUAUAACAGACAUGGCUUCUGAAAAAGAUACUGUAACAUAAUUCUGGUUCUCUUGUCCUUCACUCAUCUUAUAGUGAGGAAUUUUUCUACCCACAGCUCCAAUUGGUAUGAUCUCUAUCAAUGUGGACAACAUCAAAAUAAGUAUACAGAAUUGUACUGCUAUUGUUUUGCAUAAACUGGUUGGGCAUGUUUUUACAAUUUUACAUUAUUCUCUAUUCCCAGAGUUUGGGGUAAUCUUGUCAUAACAAUCAGAGAAGCUGAGGACCGAAUGGACUUUUGUCUCCGGGAAAUUCAUAUGAAAACUCCUCCUCUUUUUCAUGUGUCCUUUCAUGUUAUGUCAAAGGCAAAGUCUUCCUCCAUAAAGAAGGGAAAAGUAGAGAAUAUUCACUCAUAUCCAUGCAGUCCUGCUAUCGUCACAGCUAUGGAAGGACUUCAGCAGGAAAACAAUUGUGAUUUUCUCAUCAGUGAAAGUCUCUAAGGAUGUAAAGAAGUAAGAAUGUGAAAGGAUAUUCAUUAUCAUGGUCUCCUGUUACAUCAGUCUCUAAUAUCAAGGGCUUUGGUAUGGAAAUUGCAGUUCACCAUCCUUGAGUGUAUUUAAUACCCUCUAACAGAGUCAUCAGGAUUAAAGGAGCUAAAAUGCCAGGUGUUUGCGACCUAUAAUCAAGAGGAUGUCACUGCAGUUCCUGGCAGGUUUAAUAAUGAUAUACAGUAUUUUUUUCAUAGUUUUAUAAAAUGCAAGGCAGACAGCUGUUGAAUAUGUAAAUUAUACUCAGAACAUAUUAUUUUCCUCUUCAAAUAAAUGGCCAUUUAAGUAAUGAGCCUGGGAGAAUGAGUGAUGACCAUUACUUCUUGCUUUCCCCAUCUAGCAAACUCUUCUUGAAGAAAAAGAUACCAUCUAUAGCCACUGAAGUAAUUACAAUUGAUGUCUGAAUUACAAAGAAAUAAUAAUCCAUUUUCCUCUAAGUGACAAAACCCAAGCUCUAGAAAAUGGGAAUACGUGGGAAUCACGAUAGAAAAUAUAAGAAGAAUAAAAACUGAACAUUGACUUAAGAUUUAUCAUUGAAUAUAGAGAUUACCAUAAAAAAUACUUGUCUGUUGACAUGACUCUUAGGUUUUUGUUUGUUUGUUUGUUUUUGUUUUGUCUUUUUGCCAUUUCUUGGGCCGCUCCCGCGGCAUGUGGAGGUUCCCAGGCUAGGGGUUGAAUCGGAACUGUAGCCACCGGCCUAUGCCAGAGCCACAGCAAGGCAGGAUCCGAGCCGCGUCUGCAACCUACACCACAGCUCACGGCAACGCCGGAUCCUUAA
This 2391-nucleotide long non-coding RNA is filed under the name Sus scrofa (pig). RNAcentral describes it as "lncRNA (ENSSSCG00030066870.1)". Lineage: Eukaryota; Metazoa; Chordata; Mammalia; Artiodactyla; Suidae. The record is from RNAcentral.